Molecule: ribosomal RNA, 301 nt
Filed under: uncultured bacterium
Lineage: Bacteria
Description: partial 16S ribosomal RNA
Rfam family: Bacterial small subunit ribosomal RNA
Source: RNAcentral
CAGCAGCCGCGGGAAUACGUAGGGUGCAAGCGUUAAUCGGAAUUACUGGGCGUAAAGCGUGCGCAGGCGGUUUUGUAAGUCUGUCGUGAAAUCCCCGGGCUCAACCUGGGAAUGGCGAUGGAGACUGCAAGGCUAGAAUCUGGCAGAGGGGGGUAGAAUUCCACGUGUAGCAGUGAAAUGCGUAGAUAUGUGGAGGAACACCGAUGGCGAAGGCAGCCCCCUGGGCUAAGAUUGACGCUCAUGCACGAAAGCGUGGGGAGCAAGCAGGAUUAGAUACCCGCGUAGUCCCUGUCUCUUAUAC